This is a small nuclear RNA of Nannospalax galili (Upper Galilee mountains blind mole rat), 98 nucleotides long. The record is from Ensembl. NCBI's taxonomy places the organism in Eukaryota, Metazoa, Chordata, Mammalia, Rodentia, Spalacidae.
GCUGGCUUCAGCAUGUUCUAAAAUUAUAAUAAUACUGACGAUUAGCAUGGCCCCUGUGCAAGGAUGACACGCAAACUCUUGAAAUGUUCCCUAUUUUU